GAUGAACGCUGGCGGCGUGCCUAAUACAUGCAAGUCGAGCGAACAGACGAGGAGCUUGCUCCUCUGACGUUAGCGGCGGACGGGUGAGUAACACGUGGAUAACCUACCUAUAAGACUGGGAUAACUACGGGAAACCGGAGCUAAUACCGGAUAAUAUAUUGAACCGCAUGGUUCAAUAGUGAAGGACGGUUUUGCUGUCACUUAUAGAUGGAUCCGCGCCGCAUUAGCUAGUUGGUAAGGUAACGGCUUACCAAGGCGACGAUGCGUAGCCGACCUGAGAGGGUGAUCGGCCACACUGGAACUGAGACACGGUCCAGACUCCUACGGGAGGCAGCAGUAGGGAAUCUUCCGCAAUGGGCGAAAGCCUGACGGAGCAACGCCGCGUGAGUGAUGAAGGUCUUCGGAUCGUAAAACUCUGUUAUUAGGGAAGAACAAAUGUGUAAGUAACUAUGCACGUCUUGACGGUACCUAAUCAGAAAGCCACGGCUAACUACGUG
RNAcentral lists this ribosomal RNA (497 nucleotides) under uncultured bacterium. RNAcentral describes it as "partial 16S ribosomal RNA". It matches the Rfam family "Bacterial small subunit ribosomal RNA", at positions 28 to 507 of the family's 1533-position model. The record is from RNAcentral.